This 309-nucleotide unclassified non-coding RNA is filed under the name uncultured Ascobolus. Its description in RNAcentral is "sequence contains ITS1". The stretch from base 1 to 104 matches the Rfam family "5.8S ribosomal RNA", at positions 50 to 154 of the family's 154-position model. The record is from RNAcentral. Lineage: Eukaryota; Fungi; Ascomycota; Pezizomycetes; Pezizales; Ascobolaceae.
GAAAUGCGAUAAGUAGUGUGAAUUGCAGAUUUCAGUGAAUCAUCGAAUCUUUGAACGCACAUUGCGCCCUUUGGUAUUCCGAAGGGCAUGCCUGUCUGAGGUCAAGCUGUAAAAUAAAUCAAUCAAACCUUGGUUUGGUAUUGGGAGAAGUGGUUUUGCCUCUCUCCUUUAAGCUAUUGGCGACGCUAUUUCAGCUUGUAAGACGUAGUAAGUAAUUUCUCGUUAAAGCAACUGUAUGGCUGUCUGCCAAAUGAACGAUUUAUUUUACAGCUUGACCUCAGAUCAGGUAGGGAUACCCCCUGAACUUAA